CUCGACUUCUGGUGGCUAGAUCCUGGGAAAACGUCUCCAAUUGGAGAGUUCCAGCAAAAUCCAUGGCAUGGAUGAUGAGAUAGCGGUUUUACUUCCACAUGCCUUCAAAGAGUGAGCCACAACUUUCUCAUGCCUUCGCUGGAUGUUAGAUUGAUGUUUGAAAUGGACUGCUUUAAUGGGUUCUGUAUUGUGUCUAUUAGCUGUUGGACAAAUUGCAUUUGGUUGUCACUCUUGGGUUAUACUUGUACUCAUAAUGGACAAGGUCUUGCAGAGGACAUUUGGGGAAUUAAAUUCUCAAGUGAAAUCAAAAAUGAUAUAUUCCCACUGUUGGUGACUUGGUGCAAGUGUGAUAGAAGUUUGGUGGAAACUCACAAGAUGUUGCCCGACCUGUAGCAUAUGAUUUUUCAUUACGAAAAGCAUGAUCCAUCCACGUGGGGGUCACUCUGUGAGGAAGUAGUAAAAAGGAAGCGAUAGCUGCUGAGAAGAGCACCACCUCUAGGGGGGCAAAAAAUGCGAGCCCAUGGCAAUUGACCAACAAAAAGCGGAGUAGGGGGAAGCUGCCCGCAUACAUGUGACUUUGGUAAGUCCCAAGGGGGAGGCAAUUGAGCGGACUAUUCUACACCGUACAUCGUUGUGAGUGGAUGGAUCAUAUUAUGGUGGAUUUUUAGAUGCCUUUGAAUCUCUUUAUUUCUUUAUAUAUAUCUCCUGUUUAUAAAUCUUAUUUCAGUCUUAAUCAUUAAACUACACAAAACUGGGGAAGUAAGUUUCAUUUUGCUCUCAUUGUUGAUCAUCGUUGUUAUAAACAUAUUCAUAGAACGUUCUUUUCACUCUGUUUAUUGAUGAUGAUUAUUGUAGGAUAUUCUAGUAUUGAUUACACGUUUGCAUGUUAUUGUCCACCUAUAACUUACAAAUUAUCUUUAUUCAUUGCAUGGGAGUAUCAUGUUGAAUUUAUAUGCUAACAAUAAUAAACGUUAGUGGCUAGAACAUCACGCACUACCUCAAUUAAUAGGGCCAUUGCUAACCCUUUAUGUAGGCCAACACACUUGAGACCUUGUCAUCUAUGAGUUGCUAUGAGAAAUGUACUCUUAUGACUGAUUUUACAUUAAUAGUUUAUUAGAGCUUUUAGAUAUCUAGGCCAUCUUUAGUUAGCAUAUUUUGGAUGAGGCCUUGUAUUGUUAGUAGUAGUAUCAAAGCUAAUCUAUUACCACUACCAAGUAGGUGUAGGCUAGGAAAUAUGGAUUUAUGGCCUAACGAAGAUGUCAGGAAUUAAAAGGAGUGAGAUUUUAUUUUGACCCAAUUCCACAUUGAUACUCAAUUGAGAUCUUGAAUAUGUUGCUUGGUCUCAUAAACCCUUGAUUUACCUUUAACUAAUAAUUUCAUGUGAAGACCUGUUACAAAAGGAACAGAUCCAACCCAGAACCACAGUGGAGUGACUGCAUAUCAAAAAAAGGUUUUGAGACUAAUUUGGAUCCAAUUAACAAAUGGGUUUCUGGCCUAUAGAGAAGGUCAGGAAUUAAAAGGAGAGGGAAGAGUUUGUCACUGCUAAUGUCUUACAUACAUAGUUUAUUCAACGGUAUUGGAUAUAUUAUUUUCAUAAAUCACCUCUAACUAAUAUUUUUGGAUAUAUUAUUGUACUAACUAAUUGAUGUUUAUCAAUUGUUUCCUUAUCCCUUAUUGUUCAUUUUGUAUUCUGUUACUCAUGCCUAUCAAUUGUUUCCUCAUCCCUUCCCCGUUAUUGGCUCGUGCAUUGACCGUUUAUUGCCUCUACUUUUAUUUUUCCUAUCACAAUACAUUUUUAUCUUUCACUAAGUUGAGACUUAGCCUCUUUCUUUUAACAUUUUUCAGAAUCAUCGCUUGGAUGUAAUAAUUGUGGUAUGAUUCCUUAUGAUACUUUUAACGACUCAAGACAUACUUAUGGAUGUAAAACUGACUAAACUAACUUAGAAUGGUAUAUUGACAUAUGAAUUACUAACUAUUUAGUUUUUGUAAUUAUCCAUUUAUUUAUUAUUUUAUUAAUAGACAUAG
Molecule: long non-coding RNA, 2025 nt
Organism: Diospyros lotus (date-plum)
Lineage: Eukaryota; Viridiplantae; Streptophyta; Magnoliopsida; Ericales; Ebenaceae
Exons: 5
Source: RefSeq, a predicted model, not a curated record